CUCGUAGGCGGUUCGUCGCGUCCGGUGUGAAAGUCCAUCGCUUAACGGUGGAUCCGCGCCGGGUACGGGCGGGCUUGAGUGCGGUAGGGGAGACUGGAAUUCCCGGUGUAACGGUGGAAUGUGUAGAUAUCGGGAAGAACACCAAUGGCGAAGGCAGGUCUCUGGGCCGUCACUGACGCUGAGGCGCGAAAGCUGGGGGAGCGAACA
RNAcentral lists this ribosomal RNA (207 nucleotides) under uncultured bacterium. RNAcentral describes it as "partial 16S ribosomal RNA". It matches the Rfam family "Bacterial small subunit ribosomal RNA", at positions 568 to 774 of the family's 1533-position model. The record is from RNAcentral.